Molecule: ribosomal RNA, 254 nt
Filed under: uncultured bacterium
Lineage: Bacteria
Description: partial 16S ribosomal RNA
Rfam family: Bacterial small subunit ribosomal RNA
Source: RNAcentral
GACGUAGGGGGCGAGCGUUGUCCGGAGUUACUGGGCGUAAAGGGCGCGCAGGCGGUCGCGUUGGCCACCUCGUGAAAGCCCCCGGCUCAACCGGGCGGUGGCGGGUGGGACCGCGCGACUGGAGGAUGGUAGGGGCCAGCGGAAUUCCCGGUGUAGUGGUGAAAUGCGUAGAUACCGGGAGGAACACCCGCGGCGAAGGCGGCUGGCUGGGCCAUUCCUGACGCUGAGGCGCGAAGGCCAGGGGAGCGAACGGG